CCAUAUUGCACAUUAAGAUCGGGAUAUUCUCAUCAAGUUGUCUAAUGACAUCUUCAGUUAAGGUACGUGAGCUUAGAUCUCUAAAAAAGCUCCAAUACCUGCAAAUAACAUGUGCAAACAUAAUUAAUAAGAUAAAUUAUGUAUUUAUGUUUUCUACAUUAAUUAAGAAGUAACUCGUUUGUUACCUGCAAAUGCUUCGUGAACAUUUUUUGGAAGUAACUCCGCAAAUGCAAAUGGUAGAAGUCGUUGCAUAAACACAUGAUAGUCAUGACUCUUCAUCCCUGAAAAUUUAUGCCCCUGUUCA
This 304-nucleotide long non-coding RNA is filed under the name Brassica napus (rape). RNAcentral's name for it is "long non-coding RNA (BNAP_LNC024682)". Lineage: Eukaryota; Viridiplantae; Streptophyta; Magnoliopsida; Brassicales; Brassicaceae. The record is from RNAcentral.